This 492-nucleotide ribosomal RNA is filed under the name uncultured bacterium. Its description in RNAcentral is "partial 16S ribosomal RNA". It matches the Rfam family "Bacterial small subunit ribosomal RNA", at positions 29 to 507 of the family's 1533-position model. The record is from RNAcentral.
AGUGAACGCUGGCGGUAGGCCUAACACAUGCAAGUCGAACGGCAGCACAGUAAGAGCUUGCUCUUACGGGUGGCGAGUGGCGGACGGGUAAGGAAUACAUCGGAAUCUACUUUUUCGUGGGGGAUAACGUAGGGAAACUUACGCUAAUACCGCAUACGACCUACGGGUGAAAGCAGGGGAUCUUCGGACCUUGCGCGAUUGAAUGAGCCGAUGUCGGAUUAGCUAGUUGGCGGGGUAAAGGCCCACCAAGGCGACGAUCCGUAGCUGGUCUGAGAGGAUGAUCAGCCACAAUGGAACUGAGACACGGUCCAGACUCCUACGGGAGGCAGCAGUGGGGAAUAUUGGACAAUGGGCGCAAGCCUGAUCCAGCCAUACCGCGUGGGUGAAGAAGGCCUUCGGGUUGUAAAGCCCUUUUGUUGGGAAAGAAAAGCAGCAGGUUAAUACCCCGCUGUUCUGACGGUACCCAAAGAAUAAGCACCGGCUAACUUCGUG